This 1537-nucleotide ribosomal RNA is filed under the name Salmonella enterica subsp. enterica serovar Infantis. RNAcentral describes it as "partial 23S ribosomal RNA". It matches the Rfam family "Bacterial large subunit ribosomal RNA", at positions 161 to 1735 of the family's 2925-position model. Lineage: Bacteria; Pseudomonadati; Pseudomonadota; Gammaproteobacteria; Enterobacterales; Enterobacteriaceae. The record is from RNAcentral.
AAUCCAUAGGUUAAUGAGGCGAACCGGGGGAACUGAAACAUCUAAGUACCCCGAGGAAAAGAAAUCAACCGAGAUUCCCCCAGUAGCGGCGAGCGAACGGGGAGGAGCCCAGAGCCUGAAUCAGCAUGUGUGUUAGUGGAAGCGUCUGGAAAGGCGCGCGAUACAGGGUGACAGCCCCGUACACAAAAGCGCAUGUGCUGUGAGCUCGAUGAGUAGGGCGGGACACGUGGUAUCCUGUCUGAAUAUGGGGGGACCAUCCUCCAAGGCUAAAUACUCCUGACUGACCGAUAGUGAACCAGUACCGUGAGGGAAAGGCGAAAAGAACCCCGGCGAGGGGAGUGAAAAAGAACCUGAAACCGUGUACGUACAAGCAGUGGGAGCACAGGUUUACCUGUGUGACUGCGUACCUUUUGUAUAAUGGGUCAGCGACUUAUAUUCUGUAGCAAGGUUAACCGAAUAGGGGAGCCGGAGGGAAACCGAGUCUUAACCGGGCGUUAAGUUGCAGGGUAUAGACCCGAAACCCGGUGAUCUAGCCAUGGGCAGGUUGAAGGUUGGGUAACACUAACUGGAGGACCGAACCGACUAAUGUUGAAAAAUUAGCGGAUGACCUGUGGCUGGGGGUGAAAGGCCAAUCAAACCGGGAGAUAGCUGGUUCUCCCCGAAAGCUAUUUAGGUAGCGCCUCGUGAAUUCAUCUCCGGGGGUAGAGCACUGUUUCGGCUAGGGGGCCAUCCCGGCUUACCAACCCGAUGCAAACUGCGAAUACCGGAGAAUGUUAUCACGGGAGACACACGGCGGGUGCUAACGUCCGUCGUGAAGAGGGAAACAACCCAGACCGCCAGCUAAGGUCCCAAAGUCAUGGUUAAGUGGGAAACGAUGUGGGAAGGCCCAGACAGCCAGGAUGUUGGCUUAGAAGCAGCCAUCAUUUAAAGAAAGCGUAAUAGCUCACUGGUCGAGUCGGCCUGCGCGGAAGAUGUAACGGGGCUAAACCAUGCACCGAAGCUGCGGCAGCGACACUCAGGUGUUGUUGGGUAGGGGAGCGUUCUGUAAGCCUGCGAAGGUGGCCUGUGAGGGUUGCUGGAGGUAUCAGAAGUGCGAAUGCUGACAUAAGUAACGAUAAAGCGGGUGAAAAGCCCGCUCGCCGGAAGACCAAGGGUUCCUGUCCAACGUUAAUCGGGGCAGGGUGAGUCGACCCCUAAGGCGAGGCCGAAAGGCGUAGUCGAUGGGAAACGGGUUAAUAUUCCCGUACUUGGUGUUACUGCGAAGGGGGGACGGAGAAGGCUAUGUUGGCCGGGCGACGGUUGUCCCGGUUUAAGCGUGUAGGUGUGUGUUCCAGGUAAAUCCGGUUCACUUUAACACUGAGGCGUGAUGACGAGGCACUACGGUGCUGAAGCAACAAAUGCCCUGCUUCCAGGAAAAGCCUCUAAGCAUCAGGUAACAUCAAAUCGUACCCCAAACCGACACAGGUGGUCAGGUAGAGAAUACCAAGGCGCUUGAGAGAACUCGGGUGAAGGAACUAGGCAAAAUGGUGCCGUAACU